Molecule: long non-coding RNA, 3552 nt
Organism: Leopardus geoffroyi (Geoffroy's cat)
Lineage: Eukaryota; Metazoa; Chordata; Mammalia; Carnivora; Felidae
Exons: 2
Source: RefSeq, a predicted model, not a curated record
AAACCAUAGAGACCAUCACGGGCCCCGGAAGCCCGGGUCCUCGGGGCCUGGUGGGUAUUGCUGAGGCUCCCUGGCGGGUAUGGUUGCCAUGGAAACUCGCGCGCGCCCGUUUCCGGAGGUUCGGGGGUGUUCUACUCGCCGCCAGCCUACAGCCCCGGAGCGGCCGAGGGACUUGUCCUAACUGGCCCCGGGAACGCCGAGAACAGCUUUGGCUGCGACGCUGAGCUAGUCCCGCCACAGACGUGGGGAAGGAGUCUCCGGGGAGCGCGCAGGGGUCGGGAGGGGGCCCUUCCGGAGUGGUUUCGGCGGGACCAGUGCUCAGCUUGCGGGAACAGGCGUUUGGAGGUUUGAGUAGGCUCAUCAAACGCUGUGCCGGGACCUGCCUCUUUGGUACUGGUGAUGCCCUGACUCGGGAGCCUCUGGCCUGGCCGGGGUCGUUGACACCGCGAGUGGGGCUGGAGGAGGUGGGGGUGGGGCCCGGAGCGAGACGCCGGGCCCCGGGGUCCCGGAAUGCGCGCCAAGCUGGGGACUUUGCACUUGCAAGGUGGCUCCACUGAGCAAACUGUGCAGUUAGCUGCACUUGGCUAACAAGUUAGCAGGAGAAGUUGCAAUGCCCCCAGCCACACCCACUGUGCCUGGGCCUCGCCAAGCCCCCCGCAGAACUAAAACCUGAAAAAAUCCGCCCAUCGGCCUCCCUAUAUCAGUAUUUACGGGAAGUUGAGGGUGCACCUGCUCCAGAAACUGGAAGAGAAAAACCGGCAUCUCCCGGAUAACAACGUGGAGAGGAUGUGGAAAAAUUGGAGCCCUCGUGUAUUGCUGGUGGGAAUGUAAAAUGGGGCAGCUGCCUUGGAAAACAGUUUGAAAGUUCCUGAGAAAGUUAAACAUAGAAUUACCAUAGGACACAACCAUCCCACAUCCUGGGUGUGCGCCCAAAGAGAACUGAAAACCUGUGUCUGUAUGGAAACUUGUAUGUGAAUGUUAAUAGAAGCAUCAUUUAUAAUAUUCAAGAAGUGAAAACAGCCCAAACAUCUAUCAACUGCUGGAUGGAUAAAUGAAACAUGGUAGGCGCACCCAAUGCAAUAUUACUUGACCGUCAAAAGGAGUGAAGGGCCGGUGCCCGCCACAAUGUGGAGAAACCUUGACAACGUGCCAGGUGAAAGAAACCAGAGACAAAGGCCCCAUCCUGUGUGGUUCCGUCUACACACAAUGUCUAGAACAGGCAAAUCUGUAGACACAAGUCAGUUUGGGAAGAGGGCAAUGAAGAGUGACUGAUCUGGGUACAGGGCUUCUUUUUAGAUUGAUGAAUUGUUCUGGAAUUACAUAGUGGUGGCAGCUAAACUCGUGAAUAUCCUAAAAACAACUGAAUUGCAUUUUACAGCAUGUGAAUUAUACCUUUAAAAAAUGCACAGGCACACUAGAACAAAGGAAGAACACAAACAUGUUAUAAGCAGCCGUUCCUAGCUGAAGGGAUUAUGGGUAAGAGUUUCCUCCUCUUUGUACCUUUUCCCUGAAUUUCAAAUUUUCUGGAGUUAGCAUAUAUUAUUUUAUCAGAACAUAACUUAAAAAAAUUUUUUUAAUGUUUAUUCAUUUUUUGAUAGGGACAGAGCGUGAGUGGGGGAGGGGCAGAGAGAGAGGGAGGCACAGAAUCCAAAGCAGGUUCCAGGCUCUGAACUGACAGCACAGAGCCCAACGCGGGGCUCAAACUCACAGACUGUGAGAUCAUGACCUGAGCUGAAGUCGGACGCUUAACCGACUGAGCCACCCAGGCGCCCCUUGGAAAAUAACUUUAAAGCAGCAAAUGGGUACAGCCCAGAGUCAGUGCUGAGGGAUUUGGCACAGAGAAGAGAAACAUAGAGGAAGUGAGCGUGGCCCUGGGAUUGCCGACUCAAAUUCCUUUCCGUGUUUCUGGACUCGAGUGAAAUCCUCAAGGUAUUGGGUUAAUUUUCUGUACUACGUUUAAAGCCCCCCCCCCCCCCCCAGCAAAGCCCGAGGGCUCAUGAACGCGAGUCACUUCUCUUCCCCAGCUCGUCACCCCUUUUUUUCCCCCCUGCAGAUAAAACCUGAAACUGGGGUGCCUGGGUGGCUCAGCAGGCUAAGCGUCCAACUCUUGGUUUCGGCUCAGGUCAUGAUCUCAGGGUUCGUGUGCAGAACCUGCUUGGGAUUCUCCUCCUCCUCUUUCUGCCCCUCCCUGCUUGCGUUCUUGCUCUCUCUCAAAAAUGAGUAAGUAAAUAAAUAAAUGAAACAAAACCUGAGAGCGAGCUCAGACAAAACAGCUUGUGGUCGCAAGUACAAUGUGGGGCUUUGAAAAGCCUAUAAUCACAAGCACUGGCAUGUUUACAGAACAGCCUCUGUUCACUUUUGUUUCCGCGUGGAAAAGAAGGCGCCAGGUCUGUUUUCCUUAGACCGAGAUGACUUCCUAAUCCCUCGCCUAGGCAGUCUCGUUUUUCUACCUCAUUGACCCAGUUCGCGAUAAUAAACACAUUACAACCCUCGGCGUACAGCGCUUUGCUAUUGAAAACUAAUGGUUUUUAUAAUGGUGGUUUACAGUUUAAAAUGCCAUUUUCACAAACAUUAUCAUAUUUGAUCCCCACCGUGACCCCGCGAUGGAUGUAGUUGUCCCUAUUUGCAGGCGAGUCAGCGGAGGGCCAGAGGGCACACAAAACGGGGAUGAAGAGAGAGGACCGCGGUCUCAGGGGGAGACAGGUGUGUCCCAGAAACGCCACUGCCACCUGCGCUUGGCACCAUCCUCCUCUCCCUUCGGGGUCAAGGCCUGAACUCCAAUCGCUGUCUCCCCAGUGCUUCUGUGGGCCUUUUCCUGGCCUCAUGUCCCCCCUGAAGGGGCCUGAACCCCGAACGCGGAAAUGCUGGCCUGGGGGUGGAGUGAGCCCGGAGGGCGGGAGGGGGCAGGCGCCAAGGGGCCCUCUGUCCUCCGCAGCUCUCGGCCACCUCUAGAGUCACCCUGGAGAAGCACAGUGUUCAGGGGAGCGGAUGCAUCCACAUUUGGGUUGCUUGUUUUCUAUUUGUUUUAUUUAUUUUUAGGUGCAAAAGGUGAUUUUAUUAAAGCACAGGGAGGACCCUGGGCAGGAAGAGCUGCCCUUUUUUCUAUUUUUAAAGUGCAGUCCUUCCAGAGGCCUCAGUGGAAAAGCAGUGGGACCGGUCCUGCAACGGAUGGCGUGGGAGACCCCGCAAGCCCCCGCCCCCAACUCCCCGUCUCGGAAAGAGACUUUGAGAAAUCGGGACUCCGCCCCCUGCGCCCCGGGCUCGCGAGAGAGCGAGGGUCGUCCCAAGGGCGAGCGGACCCCUGCGCGCGCCCCCUGCUGGCCCUCGGGCGCCCUGCACGCUAGCACCGCAGCCCAGACUCCCGACUCAACCCACGUGAUCCCAGUCCUGGAAGUUUGGAAGGACAAACAAGAAAAUGUUCAAUUUACUCUAUGUGGUGGGAUUGAGGGAGAUUUUCAUUUUUCAUGUUUUGAUGUUAAGUUGUAUACAAUUAAGUAUCAUCGUGUGAUCGUGUUUUUAAAAAGCAAUAAAAGUUGCCUUCCAAUGGAAAAA